UACGAAGGGGGCUAGCGUUACUCGGAUUGACUGGGCGUAAAGGGCGCGUAGGCGGAUGGUACAGUCAGACGUGAAAUUCCUGGGCUCAACCUGGGGGCUGCGUUUGAUACGUGCUGUCUGGAGUUCGGAAGAGGGUCGUGGAAUUCCCAGUGUAGAGGUGAAAUUCGUAGAUAUUGGGAAGAACACCGGUGGCGAAGGCGGCGACCUGGUCCGAUACUGACGCUGAGGUGCGAAAGCGUGGGGAGCAAACAGG
RNAcentral lists this ribosomal RNA (253 nucleotides) under uncultured bacterium. Its description in RNAcentral is "partial 16S ribosomal RNA". It matches the Rfam family "Bacterial small subunit ribosomal RNA", at positions 524 to 776 of the family's 1533-position model. The record is from RNAcentral.